CCUACGGGGGGCUGCAGUGGGGAAUAUUGGACAAUGGGGGCAACCCUGAUCCAGCCAUGCCGCGUGUGUGAAGAAGGCCCUCGGGUUGUAAAGCACUUUCAGUGAGGAAGAACGCCUGGUGGUUAAUACCCAUCAGGAAAGACAUCACUCACAGAAGAAGCACCGGCUAACUCCGUGCCAGCAGCCGCGGUAAUACGGAGGGUGCGAGCGUUAAUCGGAAUUACUGGGCGUAAAGCGCGCGUAGGUGGCUUGAUAAGCCGGUUGUGAAAGCCCCGGGCUCAACCUGGGAACGGCAUCCGGAACUGUCAAGCUAGAGGGCAGGAGAGGAAGGUAGAAUUCCCGGUGUAGCGGUGAAAUGCGUAGAGAUCGGGAGGAAUACCAGUGGCGAAGGCGGCCUUCUGGACUGACACUGACACUGAGGUGCGAAAGCGUGGGUAGCAAACAGGAUUAGAUACCCCUGUAGUC
RNAcentral lists this ribosomal RNA (465 nucleotides) under Vreelandella stevensii. RNAcentral's name for it is "partial 16S ribosomal RNA". It matches the Rfam family "Bacterial small subunit ribosomal RNA", at positions 338 to 795 of the family's 1533-position model. The record is from RNAcentral. Lineage: Bacteria; Pseudomonadati; Pseudomonadota; Gammaproteobacteria; Oceanospirillales; Halomonadaceae.